GAUGAACUCUAGCUACAGGCUUAACACAUGCAAGUCGAGGGGCAGCAUGAACUUAGCUUGCUAAGUUUGAUGGCGACCGGCGCACGGGUGAGUAACACGUAUCCAACCUGCCGAUGACUCGGGGAUAGCCUUUCAAAAGAAAGAUUAAUACCCGAUGGCAUAGUUCUUCCGCAUGGUAGAACUAUUAAAGAAUUUCGGUCAUCGAUGGGGAUGCGCUCCAUUAGGUUGUUGGCGGGGUAACGGCCCACCAAGCCUUCGAUGGAUAGGGGUUCUGAGAGGAAGGUCCCCCACAUUGGAACUGAGACACGGUCCAAACUCCUACGGGAGGCAGCAGUGAGGAAUAUUGGUCAAUGGACGAGAGUCUGAACCAGCCAAGUAGCGUGAAGGAUGACUGCCCUAUGGGUUGUAAACUUCUUUUAUACGGGAAUAAAGUGAGGCACGUGUGCCUUUUUGUACGUACCGUAUGAAUAAGGAUCGGCUAACUCCGUGCCAGCAGCCGCGGUAAUACGGAGGAUCCGAGCGUUAUCCGGAUUUAUUGGGUUUAAAGGGAGCGUAGGCGGACGCUUAAGUCAGUUGUGAAAGUUUGCGGCUCAACCAUAAAAUUGCAGUUGAUACUGGGUGUCUUGAGUACAGUAGAGGCAGGCGGAAUUCGUGGUGUAGCGGUGAAAUGCUUAGAUAUCACGAAGAACUCCGAUUGCGAAGGCAGCUUGCUGGACUGUAACUGACGCUGAUGCUCGAAAGUGUGGGUAUCAAACAGGAUUAGAUACCCUGGUAGUCCACACAGUAAACGAUGAAUACUCGCUGUUUGCGAUAUACAGUAAGCGGCCAAGCGAAAGCGUUAAGUAUUCCACCUGGGGAGUACGCCGGCAACGGUGAAACUCAAAGGAAUUGACGGGGGCCCGCACAAGCGGAGGAACAUGUGGUUUAAUUCGAUGAUACGCGAGGAACCUUACCCGGGCUUGAAUUGCAACUGAAUGAUGUGGAGACAUGUCAGCCGCAAGGCAGUUGUGAAGGUGCUGCAUGGUUGUCGUCAGCUCGUGCCGUGAGGUGUCGGCUUAAGUGCCAUAACGAGCGCAACCCUUAUCGAUAGUUACCAUCAGGUUAUGCUGGGGACUCUGUCGAGACUGCCGUCGUAAGAUGUGAGGAAGGUGGGGAUGACGUCAAAUCAGCACGGCCCUUACGUCCGGGGCUACACACGUGUUACAAUGGGGGGUACAGAAGGCAGCUACACGGCGACGUGAUGCUAAUCCCUAAAGCCUCUCUCAGUUCGGAUUGGAGUCUGCAACCCGACUCCAUGAAGCUGGAUUCGCUAGUAAUCGCGCAUCAGCCACGGCGUGGUGAAUACGUUCCCGGGCCUUGCACA
RNAcentral lists this ribosomal RNA (1363 nucleotides) under uncultured bacterium. RNAcentral describes it as "bacterial SSU rRNA". It matches the Rfam family "Bacterial small subunit ribosomal RNA", at positions 28 to 1387 of the family's 1533-position model. The record is from RNAcentral.